CCUACGGGUGGCAGCAGUGGGGGAUAUUGCACAAUGGGGGAAACCCUGAUGCAGCGACGCCGCGUGUGGGAAGACGGUCCUAUGGAUUGUAAACCACUGUCCCCAGGGACGAAGAUGACGGUACCUGGGGAGGAAGCUCCGGCUAACUACGUGCCAGCAGCCGCGGUAAUACGUAGGGAGCGAGCGUUGUCCGGAAUUACUGGGUGUAAAGGGAGCGUAGGCGGGACUGCAAGUUGGGUGUCAAAUCUACCGGCUCAACCGGUAGCCGCACUCAAAACUGCAGUUCUUGAGUGAAGUAGAGGCAUGCGGAAUUCCUAGUGUAGCGGUGAAAUGCGUAGAUAUUAGGAGGAACACCAGUGGCGAAGGCAGCCUGCUGGGCUUUUACUGACGCUGAGGCUCGAAAGUGUGGGGAGCGAACAGGAUUAGAUACCCGUGUAGUC
RNAcentral lists this ribosomal RNA (440 nucleotides) under uncultured bacterium. RNAcentral describes it as "partial 16S ribosomal RNA". It matches the Rfam family "Bacterial small subunit ribosomal RNA", at positions 338 to 795 of the family's 1533-position model. The record is from RNAcentral.